RNAcentral lists this ribosomal RNA (628 nucleotides) under Bradyrhizobium japonicum. RNAcentral describes it as "bacterial SSU rRNA". It matches the Rfam family "Bacterial small subunit ribosomal RNA", at positions 59 to 731 of the family's 1533-position model. Lineage: Bacteria; Pseudomonadati; Pseudomonadota; Alphaproteobacteria; Hyphomicrobiales; Nitrobacteraceae. The record is from RNAcentral.
AAGUCGAGCGGGCGUAGCAAUACGUCAGCGGCAGACGGGUGAGUAACGCGUGGGAACGUACCUUUUGGUUCGGAACAACACAGGGAAACUUGUGCUAAUACCGGAUAAGCCCUUACGGGGAAAGAUUUAUCGCCGAAAGAUCGGCCCGCGUCUGAUUAGCUAGUUGGUGAGGUAAUGGCUCACCAAGGCGACGAUCAGUAGCUGGUCUGAGAGGAUGAUCAGCCACAUUGGGACUGAGACACGGCCCAAACUCCUACGGGAGGCAGCAGUGGGGAAUAUUGGACAAUGGGGGCAACCCUGAUCCAGCCAUGCCGCGUGAGUGAUGAAGGCCCUAGGGUUGUAAAGCUCUUUUGUGCGGGAAGAUAAUGACGGUACCGCAAGAAUAAGCCCCGGCUAACUUCGUGCCAGCAGCCGCGGUAAUACGAAGGGGGCUAGCGUUGCUCGGAAUCACUGGGCGUAAAGGGUGCGUAGGCGGGUCUUUAAGUCAGGGGUGAAAUCCUGGAGCUCAACUCCAGAACUGCCUUUGAUACUGAAGAUCUUGAGUUCGGGAGAGGUGAGUGGAACUGCGAGUGUAGAGGUGAAAUUCGUAGAUAUUCGCAAGAACACCAGUGGCGAAGGCGGCUCACUG